UUUGAGCAGACACUACACACGCACACACAUACACAUGAAUAAUACAAAAAUCAUGAAUAUAUCAAAUGUAGAAAUAUAGCUACUUUGUAAGAUGUUUAGAGCUAGAAACCGAACAACAAACAAAAGCUGCAAACGAUAGCAUUUAUUUUUUCACCGCAAAAGAGAACAAAAAACAAGAAGGGAGAAACAAGUGAACGUAAAGCCUUUCCAAAAGAUACAAACACAUACACAUGUAAUUUAUUAUUUAAUCACACCAUUAAUCCAUUGUAAAGAGGCAAAAAGCGGAUACAAAUUAAACUAAAACCUAUUAAACUAUAGAAUUAAGAAAUGCGAGUAAACUAAAGCUGUUCAUAAUUGAAGUCAAAGCCCAACAACAAUAACAUAAUCGAAACAUAUUGUAUCUUAUAUAACCAUUCCGUACACUUUAUAUACACAAACACACCAUAAAUAAUUAACAAA
Drosophila guanche is the source of this 459-nucleotide long non-coding RNA. RefSeq lists it as uncharacterized. Lineage: Eukaryota; Metazoa; Arthropoda; Insecta; Diptera; Drosophilidae. The record is from RefSeq and is a predicted model, not a curated record. The transcript has 2 exons.